GGCUGUUGCCUUUAUGGGUUUUGUUUUGAAAGCAGGAUUUAAAGCAUUGGCUUGCUUAACAGUUU
Molecule: transfer RNA, 65 nt
Filed under: Amphiporus formidabilis
Lineage: Eukaryota; Metazoa; Nemertea; Enopla; Monostilifera; Amphiporidae
Description: tRNA-Ser
Source: RNAcentral